ACCACCUAGUAUCGUUUUAAUCGAUGGGGGGACGCAGUAGGAUAGGCGAAGCGUGCUGUUGGAGUGCACGUCCAAGCAGUAAGGCUGAGUGUUAGGCAAAUCCGGCACUCAUAAGGCUGAGCUGUGAUGGGGAGAGGAAAUUGUUUCCUCGAGUCGUUGAUUUCACACUGCCGAGAAAAGCCUCUAGAUAGAUAACAGGUGCCCGUACCGCAAACCGACACAGGUAGUCAAGAUGAGAAUUCUAAGGUGAGCGAGCGAACUCUCGUUAAGGAACUCGGCAAAAUGACCCCGUAACUUCGGGAGAAGGGGUGCUCUUUAGGGUUCACGCCCAGAAG
Molecule: ribosomal RNA, 335 nt
Filed under: Staphylococcus epidermidis
Lineage: Bacteria; Bacillati; Bacillota; Bacilli; Caryophanales; Staphylococcaceae
Description: partial 23S ribosomal RNA
Rfam family: Bacterial large subunit ribosomal RNA
Source: RNAcentral